CACCCUUUGAGGGAAAACUUUCUGAACUUUUUGACAAGUUCCUGGAGCGUCGCGGAGUCUGGAAAGCACCAGUCUCUGGAAUGGGACAUCCUGAGCGGCUUUGGCGCCUGGGGUGCGUCCCUUCCAGCGCCCGGACGCCGGAUUCCUGCGGCAGUUCUCGCCCGGCUCCACGGAGAACCCCCCAAAACAGAGUAGGGGCAUGGCGCCCCCUCCCUCGGGAGCCUGUGGCAAAUGCUUUGCGUUGCCAUCCUGAACUCACUUUUGGAAUGCCUCAGCCAAGAGCAUACCUGUGCUGGUCAGUAGCACCCACUGCGGCUGGAGAAUGAAGGACACCAGCAUUUCUUAAGCUGCAUCUAUCUUUGGAGCAUGGUUACAGGCAGGCACUUUCCCAGUAGUAGGGGGGUUGAGCACGAGGUGCUCUGGGAUUACAAUGCCCUGGGUUCAAAUCUCCACUCCGUACAUAUUAGCUGUGUAAUCUUGGGCAAGUGACUAAGCCUCUCUGGGUCUCAGUUUGCUCACUUGUAAAAUAGCAUCUGGCAUACUAUGCUGGAGGUGAAAGGACAUAAUAAUGCUCCUGAAGCACUCCACAUAGUAAUUGCUCAAUAAAUGGUCUCAGGUUUAGUUAUAUUGGGACAGAUCCAGCUUUUGUGGGGCCUGAAGCUUAUGAAACUUGGCAGAUGCUCUUUAAGAAAAGGAAUACAAAAUUAGACACAUACAUUAAAAUGCGGGAACUGAAGCUUAUACCUGUCUUUAACAUCUCGGUAAGUCCCCCUCUGGCUCUAACCAAUGAUUUUCAAGUUGCAGGUCAGGUUCUAUUAGAAGGUCAGCCAUGAAACCAAUUUAGAUAACCAAGAGAAGUCUUUUUUUCUUUUUCUUUUUUUUUAAGGAAAUAGAAUGGAAUAGAAAAGAUCUGUGUGCAAAGACAUAUGCACCCCUAUGUUUCUCGCAGCACUUUUUACAAUAGCAAAGAUAUGUAAGCAACCUAAGUGUCCAUCUGUAGAUGAAUGGAUAAAGAAGAUGUGGUACAUAUACACAAUGGAAUACUAUUCAGCCAUAAGAAAGAAACAAAUCCUACCAUUUGCAACAACAUGGAUGGAGCUGGAGGACAUUAUGCUCAGUGAAAUAAGCCAGGUGGAGAAAGACAAAUGCCAAAUGAUUUCCCUCAUUUAUGGAGUAUAACAAAGAAGCAAAACUGAAGGAACAAAAUGGCAGCAGACUCACGACUCCAAGAAUGAACUAGUGGUUACCAAAGGGGA
Long non-coding RNA from Manis pentadactyla (Chinese pangolin), 1256 nucleotides. RefSeq lists it as uncharacterized. The record is from RefSeq and is a predicted model, not a curated record. NCBI's taxonomy places the organism in Eukaryota, Metazoa, Chordata, Mammalia, Pholidota, Manidae. The transcript has 3 exons.